RNAcentral lists this ribosomal RNA (340 nucleotides) under uncultured phototrophic eukaryote. RNAcentral's name for it is "bacterial SSU rRNA". It matches the Rfam family "Bacterial small subunit ribosomal RNA", at positions 356 to 713 of the family's 1533-position model. The record is from RNAcentral.
GGGGAAUUUUCCGCAAUGGGCGAAAGCCUGACGGAGCAAUACCGCGUGAGGGAUGACUGCCUAUGGGUUGUAAACCUCUUUUUUCAGGGAGGAAUCAAUGACGUACCUGAAGAAUAAGCAUCGGCUAACUCCGUGCCAGCAGCCGCGGUAAGACGGAGGAUGCAAGUGUUAUCCGGAAUCACUGGGCGUAAAGCGUCUGUAGGUGGUUUAAUAAGUCAACUGUUAAAUCUUGAGGCUCAACCUCGAAAUCGCAGUCGAAACUAUUAGACUAGAGUAUAGUAGGGGUAAAGGGAAUUUCCAGUGGAGCGGUGAAAUGCUAAAGGUCGGAAAGAACACCGAU